Molecule: ribosomal RNA, 440 nt
Filed under: uncultured bacterium
Lineage: Bacteria
Description: partial 16S ribosomal RNA
Rfam family: Bacterial small subunit ribosomal RNA
Source: RNAcentral
CCUACGGGAGGCAGCAGUGGGGAAUAUUGCACAAUGGGGGAAACCCUGAUGCAGCGACGCCGCGUGAAGGAAGAAGUAUUUCGGUAUGUAAACUUCUAUCAGCAGGGAAGAAAAUGACGGUACCUGACUAAGAAGCCCCGGCUAACUACGUGCCAGAAGCCGCGGGAAUACGGGGGGGGCAAGCGUUAUCCGGAUUUACUGGGUGUAAAGGGAGCGGAGGAGGUGAUGCAAGUCAGAAGUGAAAGCCCGCAGCUCAACUGCGGGACUGCUUUUGAAACUGGAUGACGAGAUAGCAGGAGAGGUAAGUGGAAUUCCUGGUGUAGCGGUGAAAUGCGUAGAUAUUAGGCGGAACACCAGUGGCGAAGGCGGCUUACUGGACUGUAAAUGACGCUGAGGCUCGAAAGCGUGGGGAGCAAACAGGAUUAGAUACCCUUGUAGUC